Formica exsecta is the source of this 524-nucleotide long non-coding RNA. RefSeq lists it as uncharacterized. The record is from RefSeq and is a predicted model, not a curated record. The transcript is spliced from 3 exons. NCBI's taxonomy places the organism in Eukaryota, Metazoa, Arthropoda, Insecta, Hymenoptera, Formicidae.
CUACGUUCUGAUGCAAUAGAUGCACACAUACGUAACUGCAAUGAGAAAGGAUCUAAGAUCGAGUAUCAAGAUCAAGACGUAAAAUAUUUCUGAGGAAUACGCGAUCCUGGCUCCCAAAAGCAUAUCCUGAAGAAAUAUCCUGAAGAAAAUGUAUCCCCAUCUUCCCUGUUAUCCUUCUCCCACCCCCGCGGCGUAUGCGCUUUCGAACGGCAAGCAUCCCCCGUAACAGGGCCGCAUGCAGGGAGUCGAAUUUUCGUCGCGACACCGAGCCGAUCAACUGCGUCAGACCGACGACGAGCAUCACCGAGCCUUGAUCCUUCCGACACGCUCGUCAAUGUCCUGUCACUCGUCAAGAGAGUGGCGCCAGAAGCAUUCGCGCCACCAGGAAGCUAUAACUCAGGAACGCUCUCGCUCUCUCCGCCGCGCACCUGACUUCCGGGAACCGCGAUAGGACUCUCUGGAGUAGGAGGGUGUUCCAGGAGCGCCAGGAUAACAGGACGUCGCGGUGCGAUUUGCGCGCGCCU